Onychostoma macrolepis is the source of this 639-nucleotide non-coding RNA. The record is from the annotation of a RefSeq genome assembly. NCBI's taxonomy places the organism in Eukaryota, Metazoa, Chordata, Actinopteri, Cypriniformes, Cyprinidae.
UCUCAAACCAUGAUCUUCUUGUCUCUCUGGUUGUUGCUGCUGCUGGCAGCUGUUUCUCGUGUCCACUGUGUUGAACUGACACAGACUGAAUCUAUGGUCUUAAGUCCUGGUCAGGUUUUGACACUGUCCUGUAAAAUCUCUGGAUAUUCAGUGACUGACAGCAACUACUGCACUCACUUCAUUCGGCAGCCUGCAGGAAAAGCUCUGGAAUGGGUUGGAGAGAUGUGUGGUGAUGGUAGCACAUAUUACAGUGAUAAACUGAAAAGUAGAUUUCAAGUUGCCAGAGAGUCUUCCAGCAACACAGUGACUCUUCAAGGACAGAAUAUGCAGACUGAGGACACAGCUGUGUAUUACUGCGCCAGAGAGAGAGCACACAGUAUUGAUUCAUAUGAACUCACUCAGCCUGAGUCUCUGAUUGUCCGUCCUGAUGCCACUCUCACUAUCAACUGUAAAGUCUCUUAUUCAGUUACUGACUAUGCUACAGCCUGGAUUCGUCAGCCUGCAGGAAAAGCUCUGGAGUGGAUUGGAGUGAUCUACUAUGACGGAGAUUUAUACUACAAGGAUUCGCUGAAAAGCAAGUUCAGUAUCACCAGAGACACGUCCAGUAACACAAUAACACUGCAAGGAAAGAAUAUGUGA